This 260-nucleotide unclassified non-coding RNA is filed under the name plant metagenome. Its description in RNAcentral is "partial contains small subunit ribosomal RNA, internal transcribed spacer 1, and 5.8S ribosomal RNA". The record is from RNAcentral.
UUUCCGUAGGUGAACCUGCGGAAGGAUCAUUACCGAAUUGUCAAGAGGCUUGUUACUCGUCUUCAAACGGGGCCAUGUGCACGCUCUGUUUACACACCCACUCACACCUGUGCACCCUCCGUAGGUCUAUGGUCUGGGCGACCCAGUCUUCCCGGCGUGGUUCUACGUCUUUACACACACCUUGUAACAAAGUCUUAUCGAAUGAAAGCCGCGUCUAACGAACUAAAAUAAAACUUUCAGCAACGGAUCUCUUGGUUCUG